Molecule: transfer RNA, 72 nt
Filed under: Camelus bactrianus (Bactrian camel)
Lineage: Eukaryota; Metazoa; Chordata; Mammalia; Artiodactyla; Camelidae
Also listed under: 2 other names
Rfam family: tRNA
About the family: Transfer RNA (tRNA) molecules are approximately 80 nucleotides in length. Their secondary structure includes four short double-helical elements and three loops (D, anti-codon, and T loops). Further hydrogen bonds mediate the characteristic L-shaped molecular structure. tRNAs have two regions of fundamental functional importance: the anti-codon, which is responsible for specific mRNA codon recognition, and the 3' end, to which the tRNAs corresponding amino acid is attached (by aminoacyl-tRNA synthetases). tRNAs cope with the degeneracy of the genetic code in two manners: having more than one tRNA (with a specific anti-codon) for a particular amino acid; and 'wobble' base-pairing, i.e. permitting non-standard base-pairing at the 3rd anti-codon position.
Source: Rfam by way of RNAcentral
GGGUACAUAGCUCAGUGGUAGGGCAUGUGCGUGGCACGCGUGAGGUCCUAGGUUCAAUCCCCAGUACCUCCA